Molecule: non-coding RNA, 2565 nt
Organism: Oryza sativa Japonica Group (Japanese rice)
Lineage: Eukaryota; Viridiplantae; Streptophyta; Magnoliopsida; Poales; Poaceae
Source: RefSeq, a predicted model, not a curated record
UUCCAACCAUUUCAGAUUUCAUCUCCACUCCUCCCCCAAAAUUUCGAAUUCCCCUCCGCCUCCAACUCCGGCGCGUCGCUUCCCCUCUCCUCUCCUCUCCGAAACCUCAUCGGAUUCCUCUCCGCGCGGCUACCGGAGCGCCGCCUCUCUCUCCCCGCGCGCGCGCUGCGGCUCCGAGGGUCCUCGCCGGCUUCACCUCCGGCGGUGGCGUGCGCAACCACAGGCCCCGCGGCCGCUGGGCCAGCCAUGGCGGCCGCUGCAGGGGCAGCGGCGCGCGGUGGCGGUGUGAUCCCGGCCGGUAAGGGUGGCAGCCUUCGGUCGCCGGGGAAACCCGUCGUGCUCGCCGACAUCACCAACACCGGGAGGCCCAACCCUACUGGAUCCGUCCACGCCAUCGCUGACGUCCUCAAGGAGAACGCCAAGUUGCGUCAUCUGCUUGCUGAGCGAAACAAAGUCAUUGAAGUCAGCAGAGUAGAGUUGCAGAAAAUCCGCCUCGCACUGCAAGCCAUGCAGCAGAAGAACUUGCAACUCGUGCAGGCUAAUUCGCAGAUGUUUGCGGAAAUAAAUCAAGGAAAAGAUAGAAUCAAGUUAUUGCAACAUGAACUUGCAUGCACAAUAGCCGUGCUCAAAGUAAAGGGUUCUGAACUCGAGAAGAUGAGUAAGACUUCUAACAAUCAACAAAAUAGAGCAAAGAUAUUGGAGAAAAAAACCAGGUCUUCCAAAUGCGCACCAACUAAGGCUCAUCAAAUGGCUGCAGGUUCUAUUAGAGAACAUUUGGUUGAAAUUCAAUCAGCUGUGCCAUCUUAUACUAGCUGUCAUGAGCCUCCACAGGAUAAAACAAACAAGAGGUGCACAAAUAGGCGGAAGUCAGAAUCAUGUGAAGUUACAAUGGAUACCAACACAGUGCAACAUAGCUGCAGACCUCAUGUGGAAUAUAAUGGGUCAUCGCAUGAUGAUGAUCCAAGAAAAACUCGACGGAGAAGGUCUGCCAGAUUGAACCCUGGAUCUUUUGAGGUCGCAGAGAUCUGUGAUAAAUUGCAUGAGGAUGCUACUGUUCCUUCGGCUCCUAGUUCUAAUGUUCCAAAGCUGCAGGAACCAAAUGCUGGAAAAGAUAUGAUUUGUGGUGGCAAGAUGAAGUCAUUGCAAAAAGAACUUCCAUGUGAUGCAAUAGCGCAAGUAGUAGAGGCUCCAGAACUCAAGAAAAAACGAAGUAUGCACACACAAAAGGAAGUGUAUCUGGAGGAGAUACAAGAAGCAGGUUCCAGCGUUGCUGGAGGUGAGGCGCAUAAAUUUGAUAUUGAGGAUCCAGAGCCACCAAGAAAAUCAAUGCGUAUUGAUGCAAACAAACGGAAGCUGGAAUCAUUUGAGAGUCGAUUGGCCUCGAACAAAGAGGACUGCAUCAAUGCCAUAUGCGACUCAACUUCAAGCGUGCCAAUUCAGCAUGAACAAAAGAGAAAAUUGUCAAGGAGAAAAUCCUCAAGACUGGACCCUGGACCUUGGGAGGUCACAAAUGGCACUUUUGAAAUUGUCCAGGAAGAUACAGUUGCCCCGUCUGCUCCUUCCAGUUCAAAUGCUUUGAUCGAGCAGACCAAAAAUGAUAUGCAAAACGACCGCAGUUGCUCGACUAAACCUUCUGACGAGCAGGUGAUAGGUAGAAGAUCUUCAGUUGGGAGGCCCUCAAGACGGGCAGCAGAAAAGAUAGUCUCCUACAAGGAGGUGCCCUUGAAUAUUAAGAUGCGACGACCAUGAUCCCCACUUGCAUGCAAAGAGCACAAACACCAUUGGCAUUUAUUUUAUGGUGUAGAAUCAAGUUUGUUGUGUAUCUAUCUGUUUUGGUCGCUGUCAAUAGGUAGGUUAGCUCCUCUAUCUACCCCAACAUGGAUACUCACCCUGCAUCCCAGUUUCAAACUGACCAUGGAAUUUAUCUGAUUUAGCCUCAGUCUGGACUGAUGAUGCCGAUAACAACCAGCAAACCAUUGUUCCUGUUCUGAUGAAGUAGAGACCAGACAACAAUAAUGUGAUUUCCAGACAAGAAAAGAAAAUAAGAAAAUAGAAGCAUUCGGGCACGCGAAGAGUAUACCCAACGCAACCACCUCAGUUGGAUUUCCCCUCAACCGAUCAUCCCAACACCCAAAGAAAAGCAUCCGGUUGCGAAAUCAAAUCACAAACGAAUGCAUCAAGAACACGAGAAAGAAAGAAAGCAAGAAAGAACAGGGAGCUUCCGAAAUCCGGGAGUUUACUCUACUCACCUCGAAGUCUGCCGGUGUUGUCUCGAGCUCCGCAACCCCACCAAAAUCGAGCCUCUCUGCGCCUUCGAGUUCCUCCACGCACAUGCCGCUGCCUGCCGCCACCGAGCCUGAAAAACCAACCGCAGCAGCUGCCGCUGCCGCUGCAGAAUCCUGGUCGGAGCAGAGGAGGAGGAGACCGAAUCGGAGACGGAGAAGAAGAAGAAGAGCGGAAUCCGAGCGGAGCAACAAUGGAAAGGAGAGGAGAGAUUCUUGGGAAUAUCUAAAAAAACCGAGUUUAAUACGGAGGAGGAGAUUAUUAAGCGAAGGCGAUUUUGAU